AACGAGCAGCAGAGCCGCCCAGCAGCGACCACAUUAGGAAGGAGUCAGAAACCAACACUCCGCUGGCUGUCACCCCUUACCCACUUGCUGUCAGACCACAGCCUGAGGCAGCCAAACCCAUUUCCUUGGGGAUCCAGCGCAAACCAGACAGUGUGGACAGGCCGAUGGAAGAAUGUUGGACCAGCUUUAAGAAUGGGCUGUUCUAAGUCAUGAAUAUUGUAGGAAGCAGCUCUAAGGACCACAGGGCUGGAGGGUGCACAGGAAGGGGCCAGUGCAUACAGGUGUCCAAACAGUGUCAUCCGGUGUCCUGACAUGGGGCCCCAAUGGACUGACCCAGGGUGGAAAGGAAGAGUGAGAAGAAAUCAGACAGAAGAAUUCAGGAGAUGUGGCAACAGAGUGGAUGUAGCAGAAGGGACACAGAGAGUGCCUAAAGAUGAGUCUUUGGUCAGCAUGUGAUGAAAAGAAUGAAGACAUUGGGGAAGUGGGGAGCAGAAGCGGAUGUGGGCCCAGGAGGAAGAGGGUAGGUUUGGACUGGGGCAUGCUGAGGUCAGUAGCAACAUCAAAGUCCUGAGCACCCUCAUAUUGUUGCAGAUUCCAGACAGCAGAGAUGGCAAAAAGAUGCAUGGAAGAGAGACACAGCAGGGUCGGGUUCUGGCCUCAGGAGCCAAGGGGGAAGUGCCUGAGAAGGAGACCCCCAAAUGAGGCCUGUGUCAAUGAGGUCUGUAGGGGACUGGUUUCCAUGUAUGCCAGGCCAUACUCCCUGGAUUCCCAGCAUUAAGAAGACCAAACACUUCUACACAUUUAUUACUGAAGUCCCCUGCAAGCUGAAGGCGGAGGAAGUCGCCAAUCUCCUAAGCCGUGUGUGGCUGAGGCAGUUGUCAGAGCUGUGACGAGGGAAAUGUUCAUUAUUCUUCUAUCCCUCACUUGGCCAAAUAAAGAACUUCUUAGAAUUCUUCCCCUGUGACAAAACGGGGCUGUGAUUCGGAAAGCCUCAGGCAAGUUUGCUAGGGCCGCGGUAACCAAGCACCACAGACUGGGUGGCUUCAAGACUGGACGGCUUCAACAGAAAGUUAUUGUUGCUCAAUUCUGGAAGCCAGAAGUCCAAAAUCAAGGUACUUGCAGGGUUAGUUCGAUCUGAGGGCUGCGAGGGAAGGAUCUGUUGUAGACCUCUCUCCUAGGUUUGCAGGCCUUGGUCCUGAUGUUCACAGGGCAUCCUUCCUGUGCCUUCACAUCAUCUUCUCUCUGAAUGUAUCUCUGGGUCCAAAUUUCCCUAUUUUAAAAUAAGGAAAUCAGUCCUAUUGGGUUAGCACUCCACCCCUCACUUUAACUUGAUUACCUCUGUAAAGACCCUACUUCCAAAUAAGAUCACAUUCUGGGUACUGAGGGCUAGGACCUCAAUAUCUGAAUUCAGGGUGGGUGGAUGCACAAUUCAUUCCAUAACAUUAAGAAGGAAGGGAUAAGUGCCCAAGGAAUCACACGCUCGCUUGGGGAGAGUUCCAAGCAUGCAGAGCUGGUGGUCAUAGCUUAGCCUCAGGCCUUUGGAAAUCCCCUGAAUCUGGUUUUCCCAGUUCUCAUAAUCUCAUUUCACCAAAAUACGGCAUCUCAAUACAUUCCAUGCAUUUCUGGUGACAAGCUCAUUCUGGUGCACGCUAAGCAAUGUGCUAACUACGUCUUAACUAGGGUGGUUUAACUGGUUUGGUUAACAUAGAUCUCUGAGUCAUUUCACCCAUUCCUUAAGCCUAAACAAAUCUCAUCCAGGUGUUUAAGACAUUGCACAAUAUUAGACCAUCUGAAGCUCCAUCUCCUUGGGGCAAUGAUGAUGAUGGUGAUGAAAGUGGCUGGUGACUGUUCUCAGUCUCAUCGCCAUAAUGGAACCCUAUGUUGUGUUCCUCCACACUGGUGUGAGGGACACUACUAAGUGCGGCAGAGUUUGCACUCAGGAUAGAGAAAUAUGGACUCAUGCACAGAUUCCAGCUGAGUCCCUCCGAUGUGCUAGGUACUAUGUCCAGCCCCCCAGGAUUCACCUGUAAGCAGGACAGUCUUUUGGGUGACAGAGGGAAUUCUCAUAUAUCCACAGGCAGAUGGAAUUUACAAGUGGAAAGACCUAGAAGUUCAGAGACAGGGGGACUGAACUUUUUGCUUUCAGUUAGAAUCUUUGCUUAUGGUUGUGCAAAUGCUUGCAUUGGUGGGUUUCCAUGCCAUAUAACGUGCUACAUAUUUUUACAUUACCCUUGCACAUAAGCAUACUGUUGGGAGGGAAAAUGAAGAGGGUGGAGGUGGUAACAAACUCAAGCUAAGGAAAUGGGAUUUGGAUGGGUACAAAGUCCAGAGAAUUAGCUUGAGGAAAAUGAACCAGGAUUCACACAGGAGUUUUCAAACAUCUCAAUAUCAGGACCCCUUUAUCCUCUUAAAACUUACUUCAUGAGGACCUUAAAGAGCUUUUGUUUGUGUGACUUACAUGUAUUAAUAUUUACUAUAUUAGAAAUUAAAAGUAAGAAAUGGUUGU
Molecule: non-coding RNA, 2506 nt
Filed under: Pan troglodytes (chimpanzee)
Lineage: Eukaryota; Metazoa; Chordata; Mammalia; Primates; Hominidae
Source: RNAcentral